UACAUGGGGUGCAAACGUUGCUCGGAAUCAUUGGGCGUAAAGCGCGCGUAGGCGGUUACUUAAGUUGGAUGUGAAAGCCCUCGGCUUAACUGAGGAAGUGCAUUCAAAACUGAGUAGCUAGAGUACGAAAGAGGGUCGCGGAAUUCCCGGUGUAGAGGUGAAAUUCGUAGAUAUCAGGAGGAACACCGGUGGCGAAGGCGGGUCUCUGGGCCGUAACUGACGCUGAGGAGCGGAAGCAUGGGGAGCGAACAGG
RNAcentral lists this ribosomal RNA (253 nucleotides) under uncultured bacterium. Its description in RNAcentral is "partial 16S ribosomal RNA". It matches the Rfam family "Bacterial small subunit ribosomal RNA", at positions 524 to 776 of the family's 1533-position model. The record is from RNAcentral.